RNAcentral lists this ribosomal RNA (229 nucleotides) under uncultured bacterium. Its description in RNAcentral is "partial 16S ribosomal RNA". It matches the Rfam family "Bacterial small subunit ribosomal RNA", at positions 91 to 334 of the family's 1533-position model. The record is from RNAcentral.
UAAAGUGGCGUACGGGUGAGUAACACGUGGGUGAUCUACCUCUUAGUGAGGAAUAACCCUGGGAAACCGGGGCUAAUACCGCAUAAGCCUUAGCAGGGAAAGUCGAAAGACGCUGAGAGAGGAGCCCGCGGCCGAUUAGCUAGUUGGUGAGGUAAGAGCCCACCAAGGCAGAGAUCGGUAGCCGGCCUGAGAGGGCACACGGCCACACUGGCACUGAAACACGGGCCAG